CGAAGUAUAGCAUAUAAAAUGCUUUUUACUUACACUAAAAAAAAGACAUUUGUCUACUCCGCUU
Molecule: transfer RNA, 64 nt
Filed under: Octolasion lacteum
Lineage: Eukaryota; Metazoa; Annelida; Clitellata; Crassiclitellata; Lumbricidae
Description: tRNA-Val
Source: RNAcentral